GAUGAAGAACGCAGCGAAAUGCGAUAAGUAAUGUGAAUUGCAGAAUUCAGUGAAUCAUCGAAUCUUUGAACGCACCUUGCGCCCUUUGGCUAUACCGAAGGGCAUGCCUGUUUGAGUAUCAUGAACAUCUCAACUCCUCACGGUUCGCCCGUGACGAGCUUGGACUUUGGGGGUCUUGCCGGCCUGCGGGUCGGCUCCUCUCAAAUGAAUCAGCUUGCCGGUGUUUGGUGGCGUCACAGGUGUGAUAAAUAUCUACGCUUGUGGUUUUCCGCCAGGUAACCUCCAGCGAUGGGGGUUCACUGGAGCUCACGAAUGUCUCUCCUCGGUGAGGACAGCUCUUUGAACGUUUGAUCUCAAAUCAGGUAGGGCUACCCGCUGAACUUAAGCAUAUCAAUAAGCGGAGGA
RNAcentral lists this unclassified non-coding RNA (405 nucleotides) under soil metagenome. RNAcentral's name for it is "partial contains 5.8S ribosomal RNA, internal transcribed spacer 2, and large subunit ribosomal RNA". The stretch from base 1 to 121 matches the Rfam family "5.8S ribosomal RNA", at positions 35 to 154 of the family's 154-position model. The record is from RNAcentral.